This 254-nucleotide ribosomal RNA is filed under the name uncultured bacterium. RNAcentral describes it as "partial 16S ribosomal RNA". It matches the Rfam family "Bacterial small subunit ribosomal RNA", at positions 524 to 776 of the family's 1533-position model. The record is from RNAcentral.
UACGGAGGGUGCAAGCGUUGUCCGGAUUUAUUGGGUUUAAAGGGUGCGUAGGCGGCUAAUUAAGUCAGCGGUGAAAUUCCACAGCUUAACUGUGAGAACUGCCAUUGAUACUGGUUGGCUUGAGUACAGAUGAGGUAGGCGGAAUUGACAGUGUAGCGGUGAAAUGCUUAGAUAUUGUCAAGAACACCUAUUGCGAAGGCAGCUUACUAAACUGUAACUGACGCUGAGGCACGAAAGCGUGGGGAUCAAACAGG